Molecule: long non-coding RNA, 830 nt
Filed under: Struthio camelus australis
Lineage: Eukaryota; Metazoa; Chordata; Aves; Struthioniformes; Struthionidae
Description: lncRNA (ENSSCUG00000018581.1)
Source: RNAcentral
UAUUGCAAGGCAAGAUGAAGAGCCAUAGUUACCUGCCAGAAGAAUCGUAGAGACUGAUUUACCAGGAAAAAUGGAAAGAGGAAUGAUUCUGAGACUCAAGAAAAGAUAAAGAGAUACGUAUAAAGGCAAGAGGCUGAGGAAUGGCAGCCACCCUAAAGGAGGAUGAGGAAAAACUGGACUGGGGUGAAGAGCAACUGUUCUGCAGCUCGAGGAAGACCCUGGAGUGGGGCCUGUUAACCCAUGGUUAUACCAAGAGACAGAGUGGUGGAUUUCCAGCACUGCAGACAUCAAAGACAGGACAGGUGCUACAGUGUUGUUGGGGCUCAUCAGGUGCAAGUUGUUGUCAUAUACUACUGCCCUAAUCAAGGGAGCUCUGAUUCAGCAGAUGAAAAGGAAAACACAAACAGCAGGCCUGGAAGAACUGACCAUUGAAAAGCUCCAGGCUGUUUGCGCAGAUACAUGGGACCCCACAAGUCCAAACACCAUAAGUAACAUCUGGAUAGAUAUGCUGCAGCUCACCCAUGAGGAGGUCAGGUGUGGAGAAAUGAGUGGAUCUGAGGGGAAUCACCUGAAGUCCCUCCUGUAUUAUCGCUUUGAAAAAGGACUAUGAGAGCUGAAUGCAGCAUUCCAGCUGAGGAAGUCUGUAUCCAUUCUACUGCAUACGGAGAGGGUAGUUCCACUGAAUCAUUCAUAAAUAGCUCUGUACCUUUUCCUCAUUAAUUAAAUUAAUUUAAAACCUAAGACUGUGGAACAAUAGUAGAAUUAUUUCACAUGUUGAGUUUAUAAGGAUAUUUCUUCUAAACAAUAAAAGCAUUUGAAAAUAUAGCUCA